CGGCGCUUGUGAAGGGUUUUCAGGGGCUCCCGACAACUUUACACUCGCAGCUUGGCGAACACCCAUCUGCGUGGAUCUCAAAGCGCAUCAGGAUUCAUUUCCAAGGACCAGUCGUAUUUCACGGACUCCUCUCCGAAGACCCAGGCUGGCAGACAUUGUCACCAACCACGUGGGGAAUUGAAGCAAAGGCCUCUGAAACUGCAAAACCCACUGAAAUGGAUUUUGAGAAGAAUACCCAGGUGUCUGGUGAGGCGGCCUUUCAUUUCCUAUUUUGCAAUGACACUGAGUUUUUCACUUCAUGUACUGAUCU
Long non-coding RNA from Bos indicus x Bos taurus (hybrid cattle), 310 nucleotides. Lineage: Eukaryota; Metazoa; Chordata; Mammalia; Artiodactyla; Bovidae. The record is from Ensembl.